GUGGGGAAUUUUGGACAAUGGGCGAAAGCCUGAUCCAGCAAUGCCGCGUGCAGGAUGAAGGCCUUCGGGUUGUAAACUGCUUUUGUACGGAACGAAAAGCUUCGGGUUAAUACCCUGGAGUCAUGACGGUACCGUAAGAAUAAGCACCGGCUAACUACGUGCCAGCAGCCGCGGUAAUACGUAGGGUGCAAGCGUUAAUCGGAAUUACUGGGCGUAAAGCGUGCGCAGGCGGUCUUGUAAGACAGAGGUGAAAUCCCCGGGCUCAACCUGGGAACUGCCUUUGUGACUGCAAGGCUGGAGUGCGGCAGAGGGGGAUGGAAUUCCGCGUGUAGCAGUGAAAUGCGUAGAUAUGCGGAGGAACACCGAUGGCGAAGGCAAUCCCCUGGGCCUGCACUGACGCUCAUGCACGAAAGCGUGGGGAGCAAACAGGAUUAGAAACCCGAGUAGUCC
RNAcentral lists this ribosomal RNA (450 nucleotides) under uncultured bacterium. RNAcentral describes it as "bacterial SSU rRNA". It matches the Rfam family "Bacterial small subunit ribosomal RNA", at positions 354 to 796 of the family's 1533-position model. The record is from RNAcentral.